RNAcentral lists this ribosomal RNA (172 nucleotides) under uncultured bacterium. RNAcentral's name for it is "partial 16S ribosomal RNA". It matches the Rfam family "Bacterial small subunit ribosomal RNA", at positions 335 to 524 of the family's 1533-position model. The record is from RNAcentral.
ACUCCUACGGGAGGCAGCAGUGGGGAAUAUUGGACAAUGGGCGCAAGCCUGAUCCAGCCAUGCCGCGUGAGUGAUGAAGGCCUUAGGGUUGUAAAGCUCUUUUGUCCGGGAAGAUAAUGACUGUACCGGGAGAAUAAGCUCCGGCUAACUUCGUGCCAGCAGCCGCGGUAAU